ACGGGAGAUGCUAGCGUUGUUCGGAAUCACUGGGCUUAAAGCGCGUGUAGGCGGAUCGGUGCGUCGGCGCCUGAAAUCCCCCGGCCCAACCGAGGAAUUGCGCUUCAAACCGGCGAACUUGAGGAGGAUAGAGGUGGGCGGAACUGAUGGUGGAGCGGUGAAAUGCGUUGAUAUCAUCAGGAACACCGGAGGCGAAAGCGGUCCACUGGGUCCUUUCUGACGCUGAGGGACGAAAGCUAGGGGAGCGAACGGGA
RNAcentral lists this ribosomal RNA (254 nucleotides) under uncultured prokaryote. RNAcentral's name for it is "partial 16S ribosomal RNA". It matches the Rfam family "Bacterial small subunit ribosomal RNA", at positions 525 to 777 of the family's 1533-position model. The record is from RNAcentral.